This 55-nucleotide non-coding RNA is filed under the name Ctenophora environmental sample. The record is from RNAcentral. Lineage: Eukaryota; Metazoa; Ctenophora.
UCAACUUGCAACUAUGCACCAGCUCCUAAAAAAAAAAAAAAAAAAAAAAAAAAAA